AAGAUGCAAGGGAGACUUUAGAUGCGGUCCUUAGCUAUGAAUAUUCUUUGAUUGAAACCUUGUUAAUUUUUAAUUUUUGAUCGAGGUCCCUGAAAUUAAUGUGAUAAUUUAUUUAUAUGUACGUUACUAUAUUUUUUUAAUUAAAAAUUAGAAAUUUUAGUUGUUUAUAUAAAUGAGAUUUUAAAUAAAAAACCAUAAUUUGUGGGAUUAAAAAUAUUAAAAUAUAAAUAUACUAUUGUCUGUGUGUGUGUGUGUAUAUAUAUAUAUAUAUUUAUAAACAUGGGUACAUUCAUCAAAAUUAACCAAAAAAAUUAUUGUAUCAAAACAUGGGUACAUUCUUCAAAAUCCCCCCCAAAAAAAAGAUAUUAGGCUUAAUAACAUUAGUAAAUUUCUUCGAUUAA
RNAcentral lists this long non-coding RNA (401 nucleotides) under Malus domestica (apple). Its description in RNAcentral is "long non-coding RNA (MDOM_LNC017424)". Lineage: Eukaryota; Viridiplantae; Streptophyta; Magnoliopsida; Rosales; Rosaceae. The record is from RNAcentral.